UCCCGGAUGGUUCAGUCGGUAGAGCAUCAGACUCAUAAUUUCAGGGUGGUGGUUUCAAGCCCCACAAUGGGCA
Podarcis lilfordi (Lilford's wall lizard) is the source of this 73-nucleotide non-coding RNA. NCBI's taxonomy places the organism in Eukaryota, Metazoa, Chordata, Lepidosauria, Squamata, Lacertidae. The record is from the annotation of a GenBank genome assembly.